RNAcentral lists this ribosomal RNA (253 nucleotides) under uncultured bacterium. Its description in RNAcentral is "partial 16S ribosomal RNA". It matches the Rfam family "Bacterial small subunit ribosomal RNA", at positions 524 to 776 of the family's 1533-position model. The record is from RNAcentral.
UACGGGGGGGGUAAGCGUUGUUCGGAAUUACUGGGCGUGAAGGGCUCGUAGGCGGCCAACUAAGUCAGACGUGAAAUCCCCAGGCUUAACCUGGGAACUGCGUGUGAUACUGGAUGGCUUGAAUCCGGGAGAGGGAUGCGGAAUUCCAGGUGUAGCGGUGAAAUGCGUAGAUAUCUGGAGGAACACCGGUGGCGAAGGCGGCAUCCUGGACCGGUAUUGACACUGAAAAGCGAAAGCCAGGGGAGCAAACGGG